Molecule: non-coding RNA, 1082 nt
Organism: Arachis ipaensis
Lineage: Eukaryota; Viridiplantae; Streptophyta; Magnoliopsida; Fabales; Fabaceae
Source: RefSeq, a predicted model, not a curated record
CCUAUUCUCUCAGCACCACAAGACGCAGCCAUGCACCCUCAGUCCCCCUCACGGCUCACGAAUGGUGUCGCCACAUUUCCUAUCUCAGCCCUCUCUCUGCCGCGCCUCUCACCAUUUGCCAUCACCCUUUCCCUCUCAACCCUCUAUUUGUCUCUCACCAGCCACCGUCAUGGCUUUCGUCACCACUCACCAGCCUCAGAGUCACGACGGUGCUAUGCUGCUUCUCGCCUCUCGGUGAUGAUGAGUUGACGGCCCUCAGUGACAACGAACGCGAAGUGCGACGGCGCUUCUCUGACCCUCAACGAUGACUAAUUUUCCUGUCUCGGUCACGACGGUGUUGUCCCCAGUCGUCCUCUUCUUCUCUGCCGCUAGUCUUCUUCUUCUUCUUCUCUUUUUUGACCUCUGCUCAAACUCAGGUUUUCAGGUACUGUGGCUGCUGGGUUAAGGGGUUGUUGGUUUACGGACUACUCUGGCCGAGGAUCAUGAUGCGGAACAGGCCAAGGAUUUGCUUCGGUGCUUCAACGAAAGUGCCAUGAAUGGCAGGCACAAGGUUGAGAAAAAAGAGUUGUUGCAGUUGGGAGCUCCUGAGAUUGUUCCAGAUUAUCCAAUUCUUUCUGUUGACGACCUAGCAGAUCAAAUAGCCGAGGUUCUCAACUUUUUUGGUCUUAGUGCAGUAAUGUGCAUGGGAGUAGCUGCCGGGGCUUACAUUCUUACCUUAUUUGCUAUGAAGUAUAGACAACGUGUACUUGGUUUGAUACUUGUUUCACCUCUAUGCAAAGAACCAUCUUGGACUGAGUGAUUGUGCAACAAGGUCAUGUCAAAUUUACUCUAUUUUUGUGGCAUGUGUGGGGUGGCAAAGGAAAUGUUGCUGAAGCGGAACUAUAGCAAGGACAUUCGAGGUGGUGCUCAAUUCCCAGAGUCAGAUAUAGUUAAAGCUUGCCGAAGGGUUAGUGAAUAUUUUUUGUUGUUGUACAACAACUCUAUUAUUUCUGUUUCAUUAGUGCUUCUGAUCACUCUUGCUGGUUUCAUUAGUGAAUUUAGUUUAUUAUGCAUAUUAUUUUUUAUUAUAAGGCAUAUUAUUA